This 546-nucleotide long non-coding RNA is filed under the name Homo sapiens (human). RNAcentral's name for it is "GPR84, ZNF385A, ITGA5 and GTSF1 antisense RNA 1". Lineage: Eukaryota; Metazoa; Chordata; Mammalia; Primates; Hominidae. The record is from RNAcentral.
ACUGGGGGAGGAAGAGAGGUGACAGAGUGGAGGAGGUGAAUGGGGAAGGAACCAACACUCCAAGACUGUCUGGAGAGGAGAAAAAGGUCUCUGAGAACUUCCUAGAGCCUCGUGAGGUCAGAACGAUUGUUAUCCCAGUAUACAGAGAAGAAGAAGGCUCAGAGAGGUUCAGCAGGAAGCAGAGUAUGAAUAAAGAGCAGAAUGAUUCUGCCAGAGCUCCUCUCCCUCUGAGCUGGACAGUGAGGACUCCAGGAGCCGAGAGCCUUGUGGAAGUGAGAAGGGGGAGUCUUACUGAGCCAUGGACAUUUGAGCUCUAGGGCAGCCCCUACCCUCAGCCUGGGGAUACCCAACAAACGCUUCCAAGCCCUGAGACUCCAUGACUCGCUGGGAGUGUGGAAUUGAGUCUUAUUCUGUUGCCCAGGCUGGAGUGAAGUGGCGCGAUCUCGGCCCACUGCAACCUUCACCUCCCGAGUUCGAGCGAUUCUUGUGCCUCAGCCCCCGGAGUAGCUGGGACAAAAAUCUUUAACUGUGAUUAAAAACACAUAU